GAAUCUGUCCGUUGGUCGGGCUUCAUUGUCCGUACUGGUGUGAUGGGUUCUUACCUUCUGAAUAACCAGCAUGCCAUUCAUUUGGUGCGUUGGGGAAGCAGGACUAUUACCUUGAAAAAAUUAGAGUGCUCAAAGCAGGCUAGUGCCUGAAUACAUUAGCAUGGAAUAGUAAAAUAGGACGGCAUGGUUCUAUUUCGUUGGUUUCUAGGAUCACCGUA
RNAcentral lists this ribosomal RNA (218 nucleotides) under uncultured Acaulospora. RNAcentral describes it as "partial small subunit ribosomal RNA". The stretch from base 48 to 218 matches the Rfam family "Eukaryotic small subunit ribosomal RNA", at positions 693 to 864 of the family's 1831-position model. The record is from RNAcentral. Lineage: Eukaryota; Fungi; Glomeromycota; Glomeromycetes; Diversisporales; Acaulosporaceae.